Terfezia boudieri ATCC MYA-4762 is the source of this 103-nucleotide non-coding RNA. NCBI's taxonomy places the organism in Eukaryota, Fungi, Ascomycota, Pezizomycetes, Pezizales, Pezizaceae. The record is from the annotation of a GenBank genome assembly.
GGUUCUAUGGCGCAAUUGGUUAGCGCGUCCGGCUGUUAAAUAUUCUUGUGAUCUGAGUUUAGCAUAUACCGGGAGGUUGAAAGUUCGAGUCUUUCUAGUACCG